ACUACUUGGCAUAGAACAAAUCAGCUCUUUAUUACAAAUGACAGAAAUACAAGGUUCCGAUAUCACAAUGAAUUACAUCGGCAUGGCAACACUAUGCCUUCUUAGGUAGCUCUAUGCUUAUAGAAAAACAAAUCAAAGCAACGGAAUAACUUCUAGCAAGGGAACAACGACGACACUGGUGAAAUCAACUCUACAAGGACUCUGGCUGGAAUGCUUAUCCUUGAUCACCAACUCGUCAGGCAAUCAAUCAUGGCAUGACCUGCAAACUGGCAUGACACACGAGGUGAGUACUUUGAAUCUACUCACGAGCUCACAACGACCAACGCAAUCAAGACCAACAACAAUAUGGCAUUUACAAGUUGAAGAUUAAUGACGAGCAUGAUACACCUAGAGCAACACGGCAUAUACAUGGUGAAAAAAAAUACCGCUAGAACAACAUCUGAUGAGCAUGGCAUGAACAUGUUACUCAAGCCAUGAACAAAGAUGAUACUAGCAUGCACCAUGGUUAAACUUAUAUAUCAACUUACUCUGAUCGGGGUUAUCUCGUAACCACCACAUGUAUCCAAAAUAUUAACUAACCUCGGUAUCCAUGAUACUACUUUAAUCUUCUGAUGAUCAAAUAAAGAUCAACCAACUUCUUUCUCAUCAAACAAGGGUUGUUUAUUAAGUAUAUUAUUAUUAUUGUUAACUCAUAGUGUGACCUACUACAAACUGGGCCCAUAUCCGUGGGUGUGGCUAUUGAUAGAUUAUACAUACUCUGUAGAGGUUGGUACACUGUACCUACACCACAAAACCCAAGGCCUCACGCACCUAUUUGGGUGGACUAGCGGCAUUCCGAGAGAACCAAUAUAUUGCAUGACACUCCCCCGGCCACUUCGACAAACUCCCAUUUGGGCUAAGUCAUGGGUGGCUCCGAUGCCACUCUAGACAUCCAAUGGCCAUCAUCGUGGCAAAACAGAAAUGGUACCAAACGGGUACAAUGGUACCAUAGAAAAACAACGGGCCUUGGACGCCUACCUCAUCAGGGUAGCGCGCACAUAACCUUCCCUAGUUGGAGGAACCAAUGAGAGGCAUGCCAAUCGACUGCAUUAAGGCCUUCCCAUACAGGCAAGUGUGGAUGCACUGGUCAGCUCGACUCGAUGGCACUAUGACUCAGCCAACAUUUGUUCAUGUUCAGUUAAUAUCCGGUUGAACUUGUAAAGUAAUGAGCUAAGUCAUAAUAAAAAUAACAGGAUGAAUAGACAAUUCAUAUGAGCAUGACAUAAGAAUGAACAUGUAUGUGAAGUAUAACAAUUUCACAUGUGAAGCAUUAGCAUCGACAAUAAUAACGAACUUAGUCUAGUGGAUGCACAUGAACAUGAUAGAGUAAUGAUCAUGCAGAUCACAAGUGCUUUUCAUAACUGGCGAUAUUCGUGCAUCGAAGGAACACUACUAUCACGAGCAUGUAAUAAGAACAAGCAUGAGAUAUGAUAAUAAUACUACCAAGUAGCCACGGAACUAACAGGGUGCACAAGCACAAAGCAUGAAGAUGAUCGAUUCCACAAGCAUACAGAAAUACUAGUAGAGCAAACAGUUGUUAAAUAUUGAAGUAGAAAACAAUGGUUACUACAAGAUCACAAUACAAGUGGAUGCCGUGGCUUGCCCGGGGAUAAAGGAUUCAC
RNAcentral lists this long non-coding RNA (1661 nucleotides) under Hordeum vulgare. RNAcentral describes it as "long non-coding RNA (HVUL_LNC010098)". The record is from RNAcentral. Lineage: Eukaryota; Viridiplantae; Streptophyta; Magnoliopsida; Poales; Poaceae.